This 483-nucleotide long non-coding RNA is filed under the name Glycine max (soybean). RNAcentral describes it as "long non-coding RNA (GMAX_LNC003525)". Lineage: Eukaryota; Viridiplantae; Streptophyta; Magnoliopsida; Fabales; Fabaceae. The record is from RNAcentral.
AGUUGGAAUAAAAAGGAUAGAACUCCCAGGUAAAGACCAUUAUUCAUUAAAAAUUGAUUUAUUGUUCAUAUUUGUUGAACGUCAGAGUACUUGUUGUAGGUAUCUCCCCCGUUUCAGCUCACACCGCUCGGGCAAAGUGUAGCAAAAGGACCGAAGAUGACCAUUUGACAACAAGAGUAGCAUUCAGACAUAUUGUGGUAGGAACAUUUUUUGCGCCUACUCUAGGGUCGUGUAACAUAGUCCCCAACCCCAAGAGUUCUGACAAUUACAAUUACAUGAACCGAAACAAACAUAGCAGCAACUGAAUAACCUGAAAAUUGAUAACAUGCAGAAGCACAUGUGAAGGACCAGACCAACUUGACCUCUAUGGUAAGGAAAUUGCAGGCACAGGUGUUGGAUAUGCAUCAACACCACACUCAAGAAGUCAUGGCCCUGCACCAAGAGAGUGCACAACUAUGAGAAGUUAAUCGAUCCUGGCGACCU